UAAGAGCUCUCCUAGAGGACUGUGAAGAGGUUUCCAGUUUCCACAUGCUUAACAUUCAUCCUGAAAGCAGUAAUAACAUUUUGCCAGAAAUCGUCAGCUGCAGGGAUACACACCACAGAGGGGUCUUACUCCAAAACCUGCUGAUCAAUCAGACUCCCAACACAAAUGCUGCUCCCAGCUCACUACCACGGACACCACCAAAGAUGUCCAGGUCUGGAGAGAAGCAGGCAGGGAUACAUUGCCUCCACCCUGUGCAGUAGGACACAGGGAGCUGAGGAAGCACCAUGCAGCUCCAAACCAGAGAAAGAAAUGGGAACUUCCAGAAUAUAGGAAGCAACCAUCAUACUAUUCUACAUAUGAAAAGAAGCCUCACAUCAUUGGGGCUGAAACUCUGUAUGUGGUUUUCAAGCCAGUUAUAGAGCAUUCCUU
This is a long non-coding RNA of Pezoporus occidentalis (night parrot), 429 nucleotides long. RefSeq lists it as uncharacterized. Lineage: Eukaryota; Metazoa; Chordata; Aves; Psittaciformes; Psittacidae. The record is from RefSeq and is a predicted model, not a curated record. The transcript is spliced from 3 exons.